Long non-coding RNA from Triplophysa rosa, 1881 nucleotides. RefSeq lists it as uncharacterized. The transcript has 3 exons. The record is from RefSeq and is a predicted model, not a curated record. Lineage: Eukaryota; Metazoa; Chordata; Actinopteri; Cypriniformes; Nemacheilidae.
UAUGCAAACUGUCAGUGUUCGUGUGCCUUGGAGGAUUUGUGUAUUUGUUCACAGCAGCUCAGUUUGUGGUGAAAUGAUGAGUUUAAUUCAGUUUAUUCUCUUGGUGGUUCUUUAUCAUCAGUUCACAUGCAGUGUGUUUGGCUCUUCAGUUGAACGUGGUUCUUUAGAAUCUUCAUGGAGUGAUGUUGGGGAUGUAGCUGGAGACAAAGGUAACUUCAGUCAGAAUGCUACUGCUGAGCAAUCUUACACCAAUGCUAACUACAGUCAGAAUGCUACGGAGGAAUCAACCAAUGCCACCUUCAGUCAGAAUUCUGCUCCUUUAACCAACGGCAACUUCAGUCAGAAUUUAUCAGCCAUGUAUCAAAAUAAAACCAUUUAAAAUUUUGUCUUGUGUUGAUUUCGUUUGUUUCUUAACGUAAAAUGAGCUGAAACCAAUCAUUGAGCAAGUACAUGAAAGAACUGUGUUUAAAACUGUGUCAUUACCCUUGCACGCUUGCAAUAAUGGUCUGUAAUUUGCCCUGUCCGGCCGUAUUUCCCGGAGAUCCUUAUAUGGUGUCUUUCGUCGUGCGUCAUUUCGUCACAAUUCGUACACGGAACGAAGAGGAUCCGGCUGCUAGCCAGCGCGUGGAUGCUGCGGGUGACAUGCGAUUUGUAGCGUGUACUCUCAACUACUGGGUAGGAGUUCAUACAACGUUUAGUAUUAUUUAAGGCGGCGUUUAGUACUUUAACUUUUAAACGCCAAGCAGUGUUGACAUCUGGGGAUUCAUCAUUUGUGAAAAACGGUUUACAAUGAAACGGAAUGUGAUGUGAUCGGACUCGUGCGAAAACAAGAAUUAAUAUUGGCAAGGCAUUUCAAAGGUGGCGGGAACUCCGUGAUCUGAAAGGAUUGUAAACGUAGUGCUGUAGUCCCAGCAAACACAGAACGUUCCCCUAACGUUAGUUUUUGGUUCCCUUUUGGUUAUUUUUUUGGGAACCAAAAAAUAACGUGCUAAGAACGUUCUUUUCAGGUUUUAUUUUUUGCAACCAGAAAAUAACGUUCCCAGAACGUUGCAGGCUGGUUUGUUUUAAAUAACCAGAAAAUAACGUUCUCUGAUGGUUAUUUUCUGGUUAUUUUUUUGCAACCAGAAAAUAACGUUCUCUGAUGGUUAUUUAUUGGUUAUUUUUUGCAACCAGAAAAUAACCAGAAAAUAACGUUCUCUGAUGGCUAUUUUCUGGUUAUUUUUUUGCAACCAGAAAAUAACGUUCUCUGAUGGUUAUUUAUUGGUUAUUUUUUGCAACCAGAAAAUAACCAGAAAGUAACGUUCCCUGAUGAUUAUUUUUUGGCUAUUUUUUAUGGUAAAAAUAGUCAAAACUGGUAAACGUCAGUGACGUGAAAUACAUAAAUUAUAAGAUCACAUUAACACAUGUUAUACUGACCAAAUGAAAUUAAUAAAUGUGCCUUUUAAUGGCUGAAAAUAAUAAACUAGUUAAGCUAAAUGAAAAUGCAAUCAUAUAUGUGUAUUUCUUUAGUGUGGUUGUCUGUUACUGUAUGUGUGCGCGCUCGAGCACGUGCAUUCUCCGCUCCGUCGCGCACUUCCGUCAUUUAAAAAUGAACGGUCAUUUCGUUUUACCUCACCCACUAACACAUUAGUUUAGCGGUUUAUUUAUUUUAAUUUUUUAUUUAAAACCGUACAGAUUUGAGAGUAAACAUAUAUUUUCGUGAUUUUCGAUUGAUUUGACACAUCUAAAUCAACAGACCAUGAUGAAAGGACUGAAAGUCAGGGCUUUUGAUUGUUAAAUCUAAAGACGGAGCCGCGCUAUACUUCUGUGGUGAGACAAUAAUAUUGUUAGCCUGAAGAUAAUUCAAUGUUUAUUCUUCUGUCAAUAAAAAUCUGCUUUAAA